Molecule: ribosomal RNA, 453 nt
Filed under: uncultured bacterium
Lineage: Bacteria
Description: bacterial SSU rRNA
Rfam family: Bacterial small subunit ribosomal RNA
Source: RNAcentral
UACGGGAGGCAGCAGUGGGGAAUAUUGCACAAUGGGCGCAAGCCUGAUGCAGCCAUGCCGCGUGUAUGAAGAAGGCCUUCGGGUUGUAAAGUACUUUCAGUCGUGAGGAAGGUGUUAAGGUUAAUAACCUUAGCAAUUGACGUUAGCGACAGAAGAAGCACCGGCUAACUCCGUGCCAGCAGCCGCGGUAAUACGGAGGGUGCGAGCGUUAAUCGGAAUUACUGGGCGUAAAGGGCACGCAGGCGGUUAAUUAAGUUGGAUGUGAAAUCCCCGGGCUUAACCUGGGAAUGGCAUUCAAGACUGGUUAGCUAGAGUCUUGUAGAGGGGGUAGAAUUCCAUGUGUAGCGGUGAAAUGCGUAGAGAUGUGGAGGAAUACCGGUGGCGAAGGCGGCCCCUGGGACAAGACUGACGCUCAUGUGCGAAAGCGUGGGGAGCAAACGAGGAUUAGAUACC